Trichonephila inaurata madagascariensis is the source of this 71-nucleotide non-coding RNA. NCBI's taxonomy places the organism in Eukaryota, Metazoa, Arthropoda, Arachnida, Araneae, Nephilidae. The record is from the annotation of a GenBank genome assembly.
UCUCCCUGUAGCGCAAUGGAUAGCGUUUGGACUUUUAAUCCAAAGGUCGAGGGUUCGAUUCCCACCGAGAU